Molecule: long non-coding RNA, 797 nt
Filed under: Coturnix japonica (Japanese quail)
Lineage: Eukaryota; Metazoa; Chordata; Aves; Galliformes; Phasianidae
Description: lncRNA (ENSCJPG00005007282.1)
Source: RNAcentral
AGACUUUCUGGAAAACAAGUUCAGCCUUUCUAUCUCCACAUGGCAUGUGAGAAUGAAAACUGGCACGUUUGGAGCAAAGGCCUCCUUGCAGUCACUGACAGAGGUUUUGGAAUCAGCUCUGCAGGACAUCCCAGCACCAGCGCAGCCCAACUGGAAGUACCAGCUAGCUGAAAAUCUCCAUUCAGAAGCACUCAGCCAUGGCCUAGUGAGGAACUGGAAAGAUUGCAGGCCUCGUCUGAGAUGUGCAGAAAGCUCACACCAGUUUAAAGAUACAUGAAUUGUGCUGUCAUAACCGUACGAUGCCAAAAAGACCUGCUGCUAUUUGAGUGACUGACCGCUCAUCUGAUGGGUCUCAGUUCUGAAGUCCAAAAUGAGAUUCCUCUGCUUAAGGAUGGGCUGUACAGAGAUGCACUUGGAGUCCUGCGACUGCUGCUGAAAUCAGUGGGAACCGACUUCAAGCACCACUGAAACACACUCCUGGCUCUCCCAGAAUCCUUUUUUUAAUUGAAGACGCUUGGAUGUUACAAGGUGCUUCUAACAAGAAGGAUGCAGUGUGCGUCGUACACCGAAGUCAUACUGCAACAGGAGCAGAAGCGGCUGUGUUUGCAUUGCCCGCUCACAGGUAUGUAAUAUCAGAUUGUGCUGUUAAUUCUCUUUGUUUCCUGGAAAUAUCCGUGUCAGGCUUCUAUCCCUUGCACACACAGGAGGUCCACAUUCAUAACAGUCAGCUUCAAAUGCAGAGAAGUUCUGCGCACGUUGCUGUUAAUUCUGAAGCAUUGGCAGUGCCACUUUUGUAA